AUUAAUACCUGCAUGCUGUGGAAGACUGAAGGAUUUAGAAGGAUAACGCAAAGGUACAUGCACACUGUCCCCUACUCUUAUCUCUGAUCUCUGACAUCAUAAUCUCCAGCCUUUUUUCCCUCUAUUUAACUGUGGACUUGUGGGAGAACGCACACACACACACACUCUCUGUCUCUCUCAAUCAAUCCUUUCCACAUGGCAGAAUGUUUUUGUUGUUUGGGAGGGGUGGGGAGAUAAAUAUGAUGCAAAAAUCUUAUCACUUCUCUCCAUGUCAAAGAUAAUCUUGUUAAUUGCAACCACUGCCAUGCAAUCACAAAGGCAUGGAGAAUUCCUGAGAGAAAAAAAAAGAUUAAUAAUAUCUUUUUCUUUCUGAGGAAAGUUCACACCAAACUAUACAAAAUAUUUGAACUUAUCCUCUCGGUGUUUACAGCUCCUCUUUGGUUGCCAGUGGCGUGCAUGGCGAUCACCUCCUUCCUGCUGAUGGUGACUUGUAUUGUCAUGGCAUAUAGAUUGAUGAGCAAACACUUUGAGGGUACACAAUGACAUGGUUGGUAUUGUCUUAUAUGCAGAUGUGUUAAUUCAUCUGAAACAGUAUACUAAUUAAUAUGAUUGGUAUAUAGAUUUGAUCAAAGAAAAGAGAGAGAGAGAGAGAGAGAGAGAGAGAGAGAGAGAAUUGGUUUUGACCACUAGAUUAUUAGAAAAAAAAAAGUCAUGGAGAUUUUACAUAUUUAUAUGUCACUCCAUCUGCAAUUUUACAUAAAUUUAAGGAUAAGAGAGGUAUGAUUCAAUGGUUUGGGCCGUAUAAAUGCAUCUCUAUCUGCAAUUAUGAAGUAUGUAUCCAGGAAUCAUUUAAUGGUAUGAUUGGGCGCAAUGAUUGCACGUUGACAAAGAGGGCUGGUGGCAGAUCAUUAUCUUAUUAUAUUCUCCUCGAUAAGCUUUUGUGCAAUUAAUUGGGUGUCAUUUUCCUUAAUUUUUACGUGCCAACCAUAUUAUUUGUUUGUGGAUGCUUUUGUAGAUAUUAUUAUUAUCUAACUUUGAUGUGUCUACAUGAAUCCCAAUCG
Molecule: long non-coding RNA, 1061 nt
Filed under: Musa acuminata (dwarf banana)
Lineage: Eukaryota; Viridiplantae; Streptophyta; Magnoliopsida; Zingiberales; Musaceae
Description: long non-coding RNA (MACU_LNC000959)
Source: RNAcentral